This 253-nucleotide ribosomal RNA is filed under the name uncultured bacterium. Its description in RNAcentral is "partial 16S ribosomal RNA". It matches the Rfam family "Bacterial small subunit ribosomal RNA", at positions 524 to 776 of the family's 1533-position model. The record is from RNAcentral.
AACGUAGGACGCAAGCGUUAUCCGGAGUUACUGGGCGUAAAGCGCGUGCAGGCGGCUCGAUGCGUCUGAUGUGAAAUCUCCUCGCUCAACGGGGAGAGGCCAUUGGAAACGGUCGGGCUGGAGGGCAGUAGAGGUAGGCGGAAUUCCGGGUGGAGUGGUGAAAUGCGUAGAGAUCCGGAGGAACACCAGAGGCGAAGGCGGCCUACUGGGCUGCACCUGACGCUGAGCCGCGAAAGCCAGGGGAGCGAACGGG